UUUCUCUCUCCCCUUACAAUUAUUAUUAUUUAUUUUGUUUGAAUUAUUAAACUGUUCUUAUCUCAAUCCACAAGAUUUAUCUUUUCUUUCUAUUUCUUCUUCCCACUAGAUGGGGUUAAACCAUGACACCAAUGUUUUCAACUGGGAAUGCAGUGGAAGUCUCGAGUAUCUUCCAUGAACUAAAAAAAUACAAUGCACAACUAAUAUAAAGUAAUGGCUAAGAUCUGCAGUGAAGAAGGUGGUAGUUCUCUGUGAAAAUCCUGUCUUGGGCCAGUUUACCAACAAGAGCCUCCUCUCCUACAGGAGCCACAGGGAGAGAUUCUACAAUGGCACAUUUACACAAACCAAAACCCAAAAGUGGAAUUGAGUAGUUUGUGCCAUAUCUGCACAACGUUCGCCAUCCUUCACCUGUUCUGCUGUGCUGAAAUUCAUCCAUCAUCAAGGCCUCUGCUCCUGUCUCAAGGAUGAGCAGCUGAGAACAAGACACUGAUGACUGAAGCUGCAGGUAGCAGAGGCUUGGAGUAAUGAGCCUCUGCCGAAAGGCUCUUCAGAACCUGCUCUGACAAUGUGUGUGUGUGUUUUUUUGGAAGGGGUGAGGAUGCCAGAGUACAGAGAGAGAACAAAAGUACAGAUAAGAGUUGUCCUAUAUCCAAGGUCAAAUGUUUUCAAAACCCUAAAAUAAACAAGGGCCAUCCUGUAUUUGUGAUCUUAUUUGGCAAUAAAAGCAACAUUUAUUUAGUU
This is a long non-coding RNA of Serinus canaria (Common canary), 741 nucleotides long. RefSeq lists it as uncharacterized. The transcript is spliced from 2 exons. Lineage: Eukaryota; Metazoa; Chordata; Aves; Passeriformes; Fringillidae. The record is from RefSeq and is a predicted model, not a curated record.